This 27-nucleotide small RNA is filed under the name Bombyx mori (domestic silkworm). RNAcentral's name for it is "ovarian small RNA-8545". The record is from RNAcentral. Lineage: Eukaryota; Metazoa; Arthropoda; Insecta; Lepidoptera; Bombycidae.
UGCCAUGUUAUGCAAUGUACAGCCAGC